AUUUAUAUAGUUUAAAAAAAACUUUAUAUUUUCAUUAUAAAAAUAUGAAUUUAUUCAUUAUAAAUA
Molecule: transfer RNA, 66 nt
Filed under: Aleocharinae sp. 4 EF-2015
Lineage: Eukaryota; Metazoa; Arthropoda; Insecta; Coleoptera; Staphylinidae
Description: tRNA-Glu
Source: RNAcentral